Molecule: ribosomal RNA, 509 nt
Filed under: uncultured bacterium
Lineage: Bacteria
Description: partial 16S ribosomal RNA
Rfam family: Bacterial small subunit ribosomal RNA
Source: RNAcentral
AUCGAACGCUGGCGGCAUGCCUAACACAUGCAAGUCGAACGGCAGCACAGUGUGUAGCAAUACACAUGGGUGGCGAGUGGCGGACGGGUGCGCAAUGUGCAGGGAUCUGCCCUGAAGUGGGGGACAACCCGGGGAAACUCGGGCUAAUACCGCAUAAUACUCUACGGAGGAAAUCUGGCUGCGCAAGUAGCUGGGGCUUUAGGAUGAACCUACAUCCGAUUAGCUAGUUGGUGAGGUAAUGGCUCACCAAGGCGAUGAUCGGUAGCUGGUCUGAGAGGAGGACCAGCCACACUGGGACUGAGACACGGCCCAGACUCCUACGGGAGGCAGCAGUGGGGAAUAUUGGACAAUGGGGGAAACCCUGAUCCAGCAAUGCCGCGUGGGUGAAGAAGGCCUUCGGGUUGUAAAGCCCUUUAGGCGGGGAAGAAGGUUAUAGGGCGAUAAACCUUAUAAUUUGACGGCACCCGCAGAAUAAGCACCGGCUAAUUCUGUGCCAGCCGCCGCCGUAA